AGAGCGAAUGGUGGAUGCCUUGACUGGUAAAGGCGAUGAAGGACGUACUAGACUGCGAUAAGCUACGGGGAGCUGUCAAGAAGCUUUGAUCCGUAGAUUUCCGAAUGGGGCAACCCAAUGUAUAGAGAUAUACAUUACCUAUAUAGGAGCGAACGAGGGGAAUUGAAACAUCUUAGUACCCUCAGGAAAAGAAAUCAAUAGAGAUUGCGUCAGUAGCGGCGAGCGAAAGCGCAAGAGGGCAAACCCAGUGCUUGCACUGGGGGUUGUAGGACUGCAAUGUGCAAGAGGUGAGUUUAGCAGAACAUUCUGGAAAGUAUAGCCAUAGAGGGUGAUAGUCCCGUAUGCGAAAAACAAACCUUAGCUAGCAGUAUCCUGAGUAGGGCGGGACACGAGAAAUCCUGUCUGAAGCUGGGUCGACCACGAUCCAACCCUAAAUACUAAUACCAGAUCGAUAGUGCACAAGUACCGUGAGGGAAAGGUGAAAAGAACUGAGGUGAUCAGAGUGAAAUAGAACCUGAAACCAUUUGCUUACAAUCAUUCAGAGCACUAUGUAGCAAUACAGUGUGAUGGACUGCCUUUUGCAUAAUGAGCCUGCGAGUUGUGGUGUCUGGCAAGGUUAAGCAAACGCGAAGCCGUAGCGAAAGCGAGUCUGAAUAGGGCGCUUAGUCAGAUGCUGCAGACCCGAAACGAAGUGAUCUAUCCAUGAGCAAGUUGAAGCUAGUGUAAGAACUAGUGGAGGACUGAACCCAUAGGCGUUGAAAAGCCCCGGGAUGACUUGUGGAUAGGGGUGAAAGGCCAAUCAAACUUCGUGAUAGCUGGUUCUCUCCGAAAUAUAUUUAGGUAUAGCGUUGUGUCGUAAUAUAAGGGGGUAGAGCACUGAAUGGGCUAGGGCAUACACCAAUGUACCAAACCCUAUCAAACUCCGAAUACCUUAUAUGUAAUCACAGCAGUCAGGCGGCGAGUGAUAAAAUCCGUCGUCAAGAGGGAAACAACCCAGACUACCAGCUAAGGUCCCUAAAUCUUACUUAAGUGGAAAACGAUGUGAAGUUACUUAAACAACCAGGAGGUUGGCUUAGAAGCAGCCAUCCUUUAAAGAAAGCGUAAUAGCUCACUGGUCUAGUGAUUUUGCGCGGAAAAUAUAACGGGGCUAAAGUAAGUACCGAAGCUGUAGACUUGACUUUGUCAAGUGGUAGGAGAGCGUUCUAUUUGCGUCGAAGGUAUACCGGUAAGGAGUGCUGGAGCGAAUAGAAGUGAGCAUGCAGGCAUGAGUAGCGAUAAUUAAUGUGAGAAUCAUUAACGCCGUAAACCCAAGGUUUCCUACGCGAUGCUCGUCAUCGUAGGGUUAGUCGGGUCCUAAGUCGAGUCCGAAAGGGGUAGACGAUGGCAAAUUGGUUAAUAUUCCAAUACCAACAUUAGUGUGCGAUGGAAGGACGCUUAGGGCUAAGGGGGCUAGCGGAUGGAAGUGCUAGUCUAAGGUCGUAGGUGCUUAUACAGGCAAAUCCGUAUAAGAAUACACCGAGAACUGAAAGGCUUUUUGAAGUCUUCGGAUGGAUAGAAGAACCCCUGAUGCUGUCGAGCCAAGAAAAGUUUCUAAGUUUAGCUAAUGUUGCCCGUACCGUAAACCGACACAGGUGGGUGGGAUGAGUAUUCUAAGGCGCGUGGAAGAACUCUCUUUAAGGAACUCUGCAAAAUAGCACCGUAUCUUCGGUAUAAGGUGUGGUUCGCUUCGUAUUAGGAUUUACUCCGAAAGCGAAGAAACUUACAACAAAGAGUCCCUCCCGACUGUUUACCAAAAACACAGCACUCUGCUAACUCGUAAGAGGAUGUAUAGGGUGUGACGCCUGCCCGGUGCUCGAAGGUUAAUUGAUGGGGUUAGCAUUAGCGAAGCUCUUGAUCGAAGCCCGAGUAAACGGCGGCCGUAACUAUAACGGUCCUAAGGUAGCGAAAUUCCUUGUCGGUUAAAUACCGACCUGCAUGAAUGGCGUAACGAGAUGGGAGCUGUCUCAAAGAGGGAUCCAGUGAAAUUGUAGUGGAGGUGAAAAUUCCUCCUACCCGCGGCAAGACGGAAAGACCCCGUGGACCUUUACUACAGCUUGACACUGCUACUUGGAUAAGAAUGUGCAGGAUAGGUGGGAGGCUUUGAGUAUAUGACGCCAGUUGUAUAUGAGCCAUUGUUGAGAUACCACUCUUUCUUAUUUGGGUAGCUAACCAGCUUGAGUUAUCCUCAAGUGGGACAAUGUCUGGUGGGUAGUUUGACUGGGGCGGUCGCCUCCCAAAUAAUAACGGAGGCUUACAAAGGUUGGCUCAGAACGGUUGGAAAUCGUUCGUAGAGUAUAAAGGUAUAAGCCAGCUUAACUGCAAGACAUACAAGUCAAGCAGAGACGAAAGUCGGUCUUAGUGAUCCGGUGGUUCUGUGUGGAAGGGCCAUCGCUCAAAGGAUAAAAGGUACCCCGGGGAUAACAGGCUGAUCUCCCCCAAGAGCUCACAUCGACGGGGAGGUUUGGCACCUCGAUGUCGGCUCAUCGCAUCCUGGGGCUGGAGCAGGUCCCAAGGGUAUGGCUGUUCGCCAUUUAAAGCGGUACGCGAGCUGGGUUCAGAACGUCGUGAGACAGUUCGGUCCCUAUCUGCCGUGGGCGUAAGAAGAUUGAAGAGAUUUGACCCUAGUACGAGAGGACCGGGUUGAACAAACCACUGGUGUAGCUGUUGUUCUGCCAAGAGCAUCGCAGCGUAGCUAAGUUUGGAAAGGAUAAACGCUGAAAGCAUCUAAGCGUGAAGCCAACUCUAAGAUGAAUCUUCUCUAAGCUCUCUAGAAGACUACUAGUUUGAUAGGCUGGGUGUGUAAUGGAUGAAAGUCCUUUAGCUGACCAGUACUAAUAGAGCGUUUGGCUUAUCU
This 2893-nucleotide ribosomal RNA is filed under the name Campylobacter coli. Its description in RNAcentral is "bacterial LSU rRNA". It matches the Rfam family "Bacterial large subunit ribosomal RNA". The record is from RNAcentral. Lineage: Bacteria; Pseudomonadati; Campylobacterota; Epsilonproteobacteria; Campylobacterales; Campylobacteraceae.